UAUGGAUGUCCCUUUUCCAGAGUCCAUCAUCUGUGCUCUUGCUGUUGUGAAACGUGUCUAUCUUGGAGGCUGAGGAGAAAUUCCUUCGAGGACCUGUCAUUGACGCAAGUGAGUGGGAUCACUUUGACAGCAAGA
Carassius auratus (goldfish) is the source of this 135-nucleotide long non-coding RNA. RefSeq lists it as uncharacterized. The record is from RefSeq and is a predicted model, not a curated record. The transcript is spliced from 3 exons. Lineage: Eukaryota; Metazoa; Chordata; Actinopteri; Cypriniformes; Cyprinidae.